Molecule: small RNA, 127 nt
Filed under: Marmota monax (woodchuck)
Lineage: Eukaryota; Metazoa; Chordata; Mammalia; Rodentia; Sciuridae
Source: RNAcentral
GCUGGGUGCGGUGGCACACACCUGUAAUUCCAGCAGCUCAGGAGGCUGAGACAGGAGGAUUGCAAGUUCAAAGCCAGCCUCAGCAACUUAUCGAGGCACAAAGCAACUCAGUGAGACCCUGUCUCUA